UACGUAGGUGGCGAGCGUUAUCCGGAUUUACUGGGCGUAAAGAGCGCGCAGGCGGUCGUGCAAGUCGGAUGUGAAAGCCCCCGGCUCAACUGGGGAAAGUCAUUCGAUACUGCUCGACUUGAAGGCGGGAGAGGGAAGCGGAAUUCCCGGUGUAGUGGUGAAAUGCGUAGAUAUCGGGAGGAACACCAGUGGCGAAGGCGGCUUCCUGGCCCGUUCUUGACGCUGAGGCGCGAAAGCUAGGGGAGCAAACGGG
RNAcentral lists this ribosomal RNA (253 nucleotides) under uncultured bacterium. RNAcentral's name for it is "partial 16S ribosomal RNA". It matches the Rfam family "Bacterial small subunit ribosomal RNA", at positions 524 to 776 of the family's 1533-position model. The record is from RNAcentral.